RNAcentral lists this ribosomal RNA (428 nucleotides) under uncultured bacterium. RNAcentral describes it as "bacterial SSU rRNA". It matches the Rfam family "Bacterial small subunit ribosomal RNA", at positions 355 to 775 of the family's 1533-position model. The record is from RNAcentral.
UGGGGAAUAUUGCACAAUGGGCGCAAGCCUGAUGCAGCCAUGCCGCGUGUAUGAAGAAGGCCUUCGGGUUGUAAAGUACUUUCAGCGGGGAGGAAGGGAGUAAAGUUAAUACCUUUACUCAUUGACGUUACCUGCAGAAGAAGCACCGGCUAACUCCGUGCCAGCAGCCACGGUAAUACGGAGGGUGCAAGCGUUAAUCGGAAUUACUGGGCGUAAAGCGCACGCAGGCGGUUUGUUAAGUCAGAUGUGAAAUCCCCGGGCUCAACCUGGGAACUGCAUCUGAUACUGGCAAGCUUGAGUCUCGUAGAGGGGGGUAGAAUUCCAGGUGUAGCGGUGAAAUGCGUAGAGAUCUGGAGGAAUACCGGUGGCGAAGGCGGCCCCCUGGACGAAGACUGACGCUCAGGUGCGAAAGCGUGGGGAGCAAACAG